This 254-nucleotide ribosomal RNA is filed under the name uncultured bacterium. RNAcentral's name for it is "partial 16S ribosomal RNA". It matches the Rfam family "Bacterial small subunit ribosomal RNA", at positions 524 to 777 of the family's 1533-position model. The record is from RNAcentral.
UACGAAGGGUGCAAGCGUUACUCGGAAUUACUGGGCGUAAAGCGUGCGUAGGUGGUUUGUUAAGUCUGUUGUGAAAGCCCCGGGCUCAACCUGGGAAUGGCAGUGGAUACUGGCAAGCUAGAGUGUGUCAGAGGAUGGUGGAAUUCCCGGUGUAGCGGUGAAAUGCGUAGAGAUCGGGAGGAACAUCAGUGGCGAAGGCGGCCAUCUGGGACAACACUGACGCUGAGGCACGAAAGCGUGGGGAGCAAACAGGG